Molecule: long non-coding RNA, 2190 nt
Filed under: Homo sapiens (human)
Lineage: Eukaryota; Metazoa; Chordata; Mammalia; Primates; Hominidae
Description: HSALNT0119699
Source: RNAcentral
CUGAAGGGCAGAACUUUCCAGCUUUGUCACCAGUGCUCCCACCCUGGGCUGCCUUCUGGAAAAGUCAGAAACCUGGGAAAGCAAGAAGGGAAAGGAGGAGGACAGGGCCAAGGACAGAAGGAGAGGAGAAGCUACCGGGACCCCUUCCCUGUCUAAACCCCACCCCCAAGACUCAAGAUCAAGGCGAGGAAGAUGUGCCUCAAUUUAAAGUCAACACUGAAAUUUUGACUAUAGGACUUGCCUUUCAAUUGCAACACGGUCAUUGUUUCGUUAUUAGAGGUGAUUAUUUUCAUUUUUUAGAAAACCUAAAUGUGACCAAAAAGUCCUUAUUAGAGGGAAGAACUUAAAAGGACAAUGGGUGACAACAUUUUUAGAUAUUGAUGAGUGUUAUACAUAACAAUAAUAUAAGAUGGUGGGAAUUGUGGAGAGGGAGCGCUUUUCUUGGGUAGUGUGAUCAGAAAAGAUUAUCCGGAAAUGACAUUUGAGUGGAGGCCUGAAUGAGUGGACAGCAGACGCUGCUGAGAUGAGGGGGAGUGAGCUAUAGGAUCAGGAGUGAGAAUGGCCACUUUCUGCCCUUCUCAGAGGUAAAAUUACGAAUGUAAUUUCCUAAUUACCCGAUGAAACAUAUUUUGAACUAGAACACAGAUGUUUGGGAAAACCUCCAGCAAAUUGACUUAAUCUGAUUGAUUUUCUGAUUUAGUGUUUUUCUAAGCAAGAACUGCACCCGUUGUGACAGAAGAGGCGCUAAAGCUGCAAAUUCCUGGGCCUCGACCCACUAGUUCCUAAUCAGAAACUCCAGGGUGGAGACGCAGGAUCUGCAUCCCUGGGAUCACACUGCCUUUCGAGAACCAUCCACCUGCCAGCUCCAAGUAGGUCGAGGGAGCAGCGGCACCUGGGAUCCCACCGGACCGGGAAGAGUCAAAUCCAGGUUUCUCCCUGCUUCACCAAAAGGCCCCCUGCCUCCACCGCAACAGGAACAGUCUCUGUCUGGGAACUGCGGUUGCCUAAGGCUCGGUUUGCUCUUCAGCACUCCGGUCCCCCAACACCGCGUCAGGCGGCGCCCAGCCUCCCGGGGACUCGCAGACGCUCACUCCCCAGACCACAGCGACACCUGCCGAGGCCCCGCGGAACCGCGCUGCACAGCAACCCAGCGCGGCGGGGGGAGUGGCCUGGGGCCAUUCUCCGGCCCCCACCCCCCGCCCGUGACCACCGUGCGCUGCCAGAGGGGAGGCUGCGGGAAUGGCCAGCGAGGUCUCGCAGGGGGACUGGUUGUCUUUUAGGAAAUCAAGGGGCCAGCGCCCCCAGUGCCGGCUGGGAGAUGCCUUCAGAGUUCGAAGAGAAAAGAUGCGACCUUCAAUCCGCUCCAUUCUCCGUCAGACAGGCCCUGCGGACGGAGCUCCUGCCACCGCUGCAGCCCCAUGAUGUGUGCUCCUACGCCCCGCCCCGCUGCAGCCCAGCCCACCCCACCCCCAUACGGAAAUCCUGCAGGAGAAACUGAAACACUAGCGACAGUGGGACAUAUCCCCGGGAGCAGUUGCGGGAGGGAGAGAAGGAAGGAGCAAAGGGGAAGAGGAAGAGAGAGAGAGAGCUCAAGGGAGCCUUCUUGGAAAGGUUUAACCCGACAGCUUGAAGGCGGCGGGUAGUAAAGCAGCGAACUGGUGAACGGGCGUCCUGACCCGCCACACUUCCCUCACCGACACCCCUCAUCCGCGAUACCCCACAGGACAGGAUGUCCAGCUGCCCUCACUUAUCGUGCCCCUGGGCAUUUGAGGGGUUCAGAGAGAGAAACGCAGUAACUUAUUACCCUCACAUGAUAUAUUUUCACUUUCUUCUCCUGAUUGUCAGCUCAAUUAGAUAAGGGACCUUGUGUUUUAUUCCGUUGUACCCCGUGCCUGACACAUGGUAGCUGCUGGAUAGAGAUUUCUUCGAUGAUUGAUUAUAAAACACACUAAUUUAGAGCUUACUAUGUUAUAAGAUCUCCAUCUUCAGUGACUCACUUAUUCCUCACAAGAAGCCUAGGAGGUAAGGUUUUCCAAUAAGGAGAGCCAGGCACCCCAUAAUGAACGUGCACGGUGUCACAUUCCCAGCAAGUGCCGAAGCUGGGGUCAGAUUCAGGCAACCUGGCCCAGUGCCCUCACAGUUCAUCCGGCCUCCACAUGGCCAUUUUGUCCAUGAAUAAAUGAAUAAGUG